Molecule: ribosomal RNA, 1378 nt
Filed under: Salmonella enterica subsp. enterica serovar Newport str. SH111077
Lineage: Bacteria; Pseudomonadati; Pseudomonadota; Gammaproteobacteria; Enterobacterales; Enterobacteriaceae
Description: bacterial LSU rRNA
Rfam family: Bacterial large subunit ribosomal RNA
Source: RNAcentral
ACGAGGCACUACGGUGCUGAAGCAACAAAUGCCCUGCUUCCAGGAAAAGCCUCUAAGCAUCAGGUAACAUCAAAUCGUACCCCAAACCGACACAGGUGGUCAGGUAGAGAAUACCAAGGCGCUUGAGAGAACUCGGGUGAAGGAACUAGGCAAAAUGGUGCCGUAACUUCGGGAGAAGGCACGCUGACACGUAGGUGAAGUGAUUUACUCACGGAGCUGAAGUCAGUCGAAGAUACCAGCUGGCUGCAACUGUUUAUUAAAAACACAGCACUGUGCAAACACGAAAGUGGACGUAUACGGUGUGACGCCUGCCCGGUGCCGGAAGGUUAAUUGAUGGGGUCAGCGCAAGCGAAGCUCCUGAUCGAAGCCCCGGUAAACGGCGGCCGUAACUAUAACGGUCCUAAGGUAGCGAAAUUCCUUGUCGGGUAAGUUCCGACCUGCACGAAUGGCGUAAUGAUGGCCAGGCUGUCUCCACCCGAGACUCAGUGAAAUUGAACUCGCUGUGAAGAUGCAGUGUACCCGCGGCAAGACGGAAAGACCCCGUGAACCUUUACUAUAGCUUGACACUGAACAUUGAGCCUUGAUGUGUAGGAUAGGUGGGAGGCUUUGAAGUGUGGACGCCAGUCUGCAUGGAGCCGACCUUGAAAUACCACCCUUUAAUGUUUGAUGUUCUAACGUGGACCCGUAAUCCGGGUUGCGGACAGUGUCUGGUGGGUAGUUUGACUGGGGCGGUCUCCUCCUAAAGAGUAACGGAGGAGCACGAAGGUUGGCUAAUCCUGGUCGGACAUCAGGAGGUUAGUGCAAUGGCAUAAGCCAGCUUGACUGCGAGCGUGACGGCGCGAGCAGGUGCGAAAGCAGGUCAUAGUGAUCCGGUGGUUCUGAAUGGAAGGGCCAUCGCUCAACGGAUAAAAGGUACUCCGGGGAUAACAGGCUGAUACCGCCCAAGAGUUCAUAUCGACGGCGGUGUUUGGCACCUCGAUGUCGGCUCAUCACAUCCUGGGGCUGAAGUAGGUCCCAAGGGUAUGGCUGUUCGCCAUUUAAAGUGGUACGCGAGCUGGGUUUAGAACGUCGUGAGACAGUUCGGUCCCUAUCUGCCGUGGGCGCUGGAGAACUGAGGGGGGCUGCUCCUAGUACGAGAGGACCGGAGUGGACGCAUCACUGGUGUUCGGGUUGUCAUGCCAAUGGCACUGCCCGGUAGCUAAAUGCGGAAGAGAUAAGUGCUGAAAGCAUCUAAGCACGAAACUUGCCCCGAGAUGAGUUCUCCCUGAGACUUAGAGUCUCCUGAAGGAACGUUGAAGACGACGACGUUGAUAGGCCGGGUGUGUAAGCGCAGCGAUGCGUUGAGCUAACCGGUACUAAUGAACCGUGAGGCUUAACC